Molecule: ribosomal RNA, 915 nt
Filed under: uncultured bacterium
Lineage: Bacteria
Description: bacterial SSU rRNA
Rfam family: Bacterial small subunit ribosomal RNA
Source: RNAcentral
AGAGUUUGAUCAUGGCUCAGGACGAACGCUGGCGGCGUGCCUAAUACAUGCAAGUCGAGCGAGCUUGCCUAGAUGAUUUUGGUGCUUGCACUAAAUGAAACUAGAUACAAGCGAGCGGCGGACGGGUGAGUAACACGUGGGUAACCUGCCCAAGAGACUGGGAUAACACCUGGAAACAGAUGCUAAUACCGGAUAACAACACUAGACGCAUGUCUAGAGUUUGAAAGAUGGUUCUGCUAUCACUCUUGGAUGGACCUGCGGUGCAUUAGCUAGUUGGUAAGGUAACGGCUUACCAAGGCAAUGAUGCAUAGCCGAGUUGAGAGACUGAUCGGCCACAUUGGGACUGAGACACGGCCCAAACUCCUACGGGAGGCAGCAGUAGGGAAUCUUCCACAAUGGACGAAAGUCUGAUGGAGCAACGCCGCGUGAGUGAAGAAGGGUUUCGGCUCGUAAAGCUCUGUUGGUAGUGAAGAAAGAUAGAGGUAGUAACUGGCCUUUAUUUGACGGUAAUUACUUAGAAAGUCACGGCUAACUACGUGCCAGCAGCCGCGGUAAUACGUAGGUGGCAAGCGUUGUCCGGAUUUAUUGGGCGUAAAGCGAGUGCAGGCGGUUCAAUAAGUCUGAUGUGAAAGCCUUCGGCUCAACCGGAGAAUUGCAUCAGAAACUGUUGAACUUGAGUGCAGAAGAGGAGAGUGGAACUCCAUGUGUAGCGGUGGAAUGCGUAGAUAUAUGGAAGAACACCAGUGGCGAAGGCGGCUCUCUGGUCUGCAACUGACGCUGAGGCUCGAAAGCAUGGGUAGCGAACAGGAUUAGAUACCCUGGUAGUCCAUGCCGUAAACGAUGAGUGCUAAGUGUUGGGAGGUUUCCGCCUCUCAGUGCUGCAGCUAACGCAUUAAGCACUCCGCCUGGGGAGUA